GACGAACGCUGGCGGCGUGCUUAACACAUGCAAGUCGUACGACAGCAUUUCCUUUUAGGUUGUGUUUGGAGUGGCGAACGGGUGAGUAACACGUGAGUGACCUGCCCUUCACUUUGGGAUAACGUGCGGAAACGUGCGCUAAUACCAAAUAUUCGCAUUUCUGCUGCAUGGUGGGGUGUGGAAAGGGGCCUUCGGGUUCGUGGUGGGGGAGUGGGCGUCGCGGCCUAUCAGCNGUGUUGGUGGGGUGAUGGCCUACCAAGGCGUGGACGGGUAGCCGGCCUGAGAGGGUGUUCGGUCACACUGGGACUGAGAUACGGCCCAGACUCCUACGGGAGGCAGCAGUGGGGGAGUUUUGCACAAUGGACGAAAGUCUGAUGCAGUGACGCCGCGUGGGGGAUGACGGCCU
Molecule: ribosomal RNA, 406 nt
Filed under: uncultured bacterium
Lineage: Bacteria
Description: bacterial SSU rRNA
Rfam family: Bacterial small subunit ribosomal RNA
Source: RNAcentral